GGGCGGCUGGCCUAAUGGUAAGGCGCUAGAUUUCGGUAUUUCGCGGAAGCUCUAGAGAUUGCAGGUUCGAUCCCUGCGUCGCUCA
RNAcentral lists this transfer RNA (85 nucleotides) under Penicillium nalgiovense. It matches the Rfam family "tRNA". From Rfam's summary of the family: Transfer RNA (tRNA) molecules are approximately 80 nucleotides in length. Their secondary structure includes four short double-helical elements and three loops (D, anti-codon, and T loops). Further hydrogen bonds mediate the characteristic L-shaped molecular structure. tRNAs have two regions of fundamental functional importance: the anti-codon, which is responsible for specific mRNA codon recognition, and the 3' end, to which the tRNAs corresponding amino acid is attached (by aminoacyl-tRNA synthetases). tRNAs cope with the degeneracy of the genetic code in two manners: having more than one tRNA (with a specific anti-codon) for a particular amino acid; and 'wobble' base-pairing, i.e. permitting non-standard base-pairing at the 3rd anti-codon position. The record is from Rfam by way of RNAcentral. Lineage: Eukaryota; Fungi; Ascomycota; Eurotiomycetes; Eurotiales; Aspergillaceae.